GCCUGCCCGGUGAUUCACUUUUAACGGCCGCGGUAUCCUAACCGUGCAAAGGUAGCGCAAUCAUUUGUUCUUUAAAUGAGGACUAGUAUGAAUGGCGCCAUGAAAAUCGAUUUGUCUCUCGUAGUAGUUCUAUGAACCUGAUCUCCCAGUACAAAAGCUGGAAUAUAAUCAUAAGACGAGAAGACCCUGUGGAGCUUUAAACUUCUACUCAACUUCAUGAUUUAGCAGUUUUCGGUUGGGGCGACCCUGGAGACAAACAAAACCUCCAGAAAACUACACACUAGGCCGACAGGCCAAUCCUGCAAUGACCCAAUAAAAUUGACUAUUGAACCAAGUUACCCCAGGGAUAACAGCGCAAUCUUCUUCAAGAGUCCAUAUCGACAAGAGGGUUUACGACCUCGAUGUUGGAUCAGGAUGUCCAAAUAGUGCAGACGCUAUUAAUUGGUUCGUUUGUUCAACGAUUAAAAUCCUACGUGAUCUGAGUUCAGACCGG
This 493-nucleotide ribosomal RNA is filed under the name Geocalamus acutus. RNAcentral describes it as "partial 16S ribosomal RNA". It matches the Rfam family "Bacterial large subunit ribosomal RNA", at positions 1857 to 2619 of the family's 2925-position model. The record is from RNAcentral. Lineage: Eukaryota; Metazoa; Chordata; Lepidosauria; Squamata; Amphisbaenidae.